This 45-nucleotide non-coding RNA is filed under the name Caenorhabditis briggsae. RNAcentral describes it as "sRNA CBG29723". It matches the Rfam family "Histone 3' UTR stem-loop". From Rfam's summary of the family: The mRNAs of metazoan histone genes lack a poly-A tail. 3' end processing occurs at a site between a highly conserved stem-loop (modelled by this family) and a purine rich region around 20 nts downstream (the histone downstream element, or HDE). Lineage: Eukaryota; Metazoa; Nematoda; Chromadorea; Rhabditida; Rhabditidae. The record is from RNAcentral.
CCAACGGCCCUCUUUAGGGCCACAUAUUCUGAAAAUCCGUUAUUU